Molecule: ribosomal RNA, 987 nt
Filed under: Plasmodium knowlesi
Lineage: Eukaryota; Apicomplexa; Aconoidasida; Haemosporida; Plasmodiidae
Description: SSU rRNA
Rfam family: Eukaryotic small subunit ribosomal RNA
Source: RNAcentral
ACAUAACUGAUGCCUCCGCGUAUCGACUUUGUGCGCAUUUUAGCUAUUAUGUGUUCUUUUAAUUAAAAUGAUUCUUUUUAAGAUUCAUCUAUUAAAAAUUUGCUUCGGCAUAAUUUUUUUUGAUGAUCUUGUUACUUUGAGUAAAUUAGAGUGUUCAAAGCAAACAGAUAUAGCAUUUGUGCGUUUGAAUACUACAGCAUGGAAUAACAAAAUUGAACAAGUCAGAAUUUUUUUGUUCUUUUUUCUUAUUUUGGCUUAGUUACGAUUAAUAGGAGUAGCUUGGGGGCAUUUGUAUUCAGAUGUCAGAGGUGAAAUUCUUAGAUUUUCUGGAGACAAACAACUGCGAAAGCAUUUGCCUAAAAUACUUCCAUUAAUCAAGAACGAAAGUUAAGGGAGUGAAGACGAUCAGAUACCGUCGUAAUCUUAACCAUAAACUAUGCCGACUAGGCUUUGGAUGAAAGAUUUUAAAAUAAGAGUUUUUCUUUUCUCUCCGGAGAUUAGAACUCUUAGAUUGCUUCCUUCAGUGCCUUAUGAGAAAUCAAAGUCUUUGGGUUCUGGGGCGAGUAUUCGCGCAAGCGAGAAAGUUAAAAGAAUUGACGGAAGGGCACCACCAGGCGUGGAGCUUGCGGCUUAAUUUGACUCAACACGGGAAAACUCACUAGUUUAAGACAAGAGUAGGAUUGACAGAUUAAUAGCUCUUUCUUGAUUUCUUGGAUGGUGAUGCAUGGCCGUUUUUAGUUCGUGAAUAUGAUUUGUCUGGUUAAUUCCGAUAACGAACGAGAUCUUAACCUGCUAAUUAGCGGCAAAUACGAUAUAUUCUUAUGUAGAAUUGAAUAUAGUGGAUUUGUUAGAUUUUGAAGAAAAUAUUGGAAUUACGUUAAAUGUGAUUCCUUUCCCUUUUCUACUUAAUUUACAUUUCCAUCUAUUUCUUUUUCGCGUAUGAAUGUAUUUGCUUGAUUGUAAAGCUUCUUAGAGGAACGAUGUGUG